UGGGCGUUAAUACUGCAGGCAAGGGCCAUUUGCUGUAGGAGCUCAAUCAAAGGCUUUCCGUAGACGAAGUUCGAUUUCACACAGAAUUCGACAGAGGAUCGACCGGCAGUGGGUGUCGGAUGGCACUGGAGAGGUUCAUCCACUGGAGGGGUCCGGCUGCUGGAGUCCAUGUAUCGUAGGAGUUCGUCCGAAAUCUGUCCGCUACAGAAGUUCGGUCGGAGUCCGAUCUCCGUAGAAGCCCGGAUGGGGAUCAUUUGUCGAGGAAGCUCAGCCGAAGCCUGCAGUAGAAGCUCGGAGUAGAUCGCUUGCAGUAGAAGCUCGGAGUAGGUCACUUGCAGUAGAAGCUCGGAGUAGAUCGCUUGCAGUAGAAGCUCGGAGUAGGUCACUUGCAGUAGAAGCUCGGAGUAGAUCGCUUGCAGUAGAAGCUCGAGGUAGAUCGCUUGCAGUAGAAGCUCGGAGUCCGGCCCUUGUAGGAG
RNAcentral lists this long non-coding RNA (476 nucleotides) under Elaeis guineensis (African oil palm). Its description in RNAcentral is "long non-coding RNA (EGUI_LNC023059)". The record is from RNAcentral. Lineage: Eukaryota; Viridiplantae; Streptophyta; Magnoliopsida; Arecales; Arecaceae.